Molecule: ribosomal RNA, 557 nt
Filed under: uncultured Bradyrhizobiaceae bacterium
Lineage: Bacteria; Pseudomonadati; Pseudomonadota; Alphaproteobacteria; Hyphomicrobiales; Nitrobacteraceae
Description: bacterial SSU rRNA
Rfam family: Bacterial small subunit ribosomal RNA
Source: RNAcentral
ACGGGUGAGUAACGCGUGGGAACGUACCUUUUGGUUCGGAACAACUGAGGGAAACUUCAGCUAAUACCGGAUAAGCCCUUACGGGGAAAGAUUUAUCGCCGAAAGAUCGGCCCGCGUCUGAUUAGCUAGUUGGUGAGGUAAUGGCUCACCAAGGCGACGAUCAGUAGCUGGUCUGAGAGGAUGAUCAGCCACAUUGGGACUGAGACACGGCCCAAACUCCUACGGGAGGCAGCAGUGGGGAAUAUUGGACAAUGGGCGAAAGCCUGAUCCAGCCAUGCCGCGUGAGUGAUGAAGGCCCUAGGGUUGUAAAGCUCUUUUGUGCGGGAAGAUAAUGACGGUACCGCAAGGAUAAGCCCCGGCUAACUUCGUGCCAGCAGCCGCGGUAAUACGAAGGGGGCUAGCGUUGCUCGGAAUCACUGGGCGUAAAGGGUGCGUAGGCGGGUUCUUAAGUCAGAGGUGAAAUCCUGGAGCUCAACUCCAGAACUGCCUUUGAUACUGAGAGUCUUGAGUAUGACAGAGGUGAGUGGAACUGCGAGUGUAGAGGUGAAAUUCGUAGA